GACGAACGCUGGCGGCGUGCUUAACACAUGCAAGUCGAACGGAAAGGCCCUGCUUUUGUGGGGUGCUCGAGUGGCGAACGGGUGAGUAACACGUGAGUAACCUGCCCUUGACUUUGGGAUAACUUCAGGAAACUGGGGCUAAUACCGGAUAGGAGCUCCUGCUGCAUGGUGGGGGUUGGAAAGUUUCGGCGGUUGGGGAUGGACUCGCGGCUUAUCAGCUUGUUGGUGGGGUAGUGGCUCACCAAGGCUUUGACGGGUAGCCGGCCUGAGAGGGUGACCGGCCACAUUGGGACUGAGAUACGGCCCAGACUCCUACGGGAGGCAGCAGUGGGGAAUAUUGCACAAUGGGCGGAAGCCUGAUGCAGCAACGCUGCGUGCGGGAUGACGGCCUUCGGGUUGUAAACCGCUUUCGCCUGUGACGAAGCGUGAGUGACGGUAAUGGGUAAAGAAGCACCGGCUAACUACGUG
RNAcentral lists this ribosomal RNA (468 nucleotides) under uncultured bacterium. Its description in RNAcentral is "partial 16S ribosomal RNA". It matches the Rfam family "Bacterial small subunit ribosomal RNA", at positions 28 to 507 of the family's 1533-position model. The record is from RNAcentral.